RNAcentral lists this non-coding RNA (30 nucleotides) under Rattus norvegicus (Norway rat). Lineage: Eukaryota; Metazoa; Chordata; Mammalia; Rodentia; Muridae. The record is from RNAcentral.
GCUUCGACUUACCUGGUACCUGUCAGGGGU